GUUGGAUGUGGUGGUGCACAUCUGUAGUCCUAGCUACUUGGGAGGCUGAGGAAGGAGGAUCACCUGAGCCCAGGAGUUUGAGGCUGCAGUGAGCUGUGAUCAUGCCACUGCACUCCAACCUGGGUGACAAAGUGAGACUCUGACUCUU
Molecule: unclassified non-coding RNA, 148 nt
Organism: Macaca mulatta (Rhesus monkey)
Lineage: Eukaryota; Metazoa; Chordata; Mammalia; Primates; Cercopithecidae
Rfam family: Metazoan signal recognition particle RNA
About the family: The signal recognition particle (SRP) is a universally conserved ribonucleoprotein. It is involved in the co-translational targeting of proteins to membranes.
Source: Ensembl